GCCAGGUGUGGUGGUGGGCCCCUGUAAUCCCAGCCACUCGGGAGGCUGAGGCAGGAGAAUUGCUUGAGCCCAGGAGGCAGAGACUGCAGUGAGCCAAGAUCGUGCCACUGCACUCCAGCCUGGGCAACAGAGUAAGACUCUGUCUCAA
Molecule: unclassified non-coding RNA, 148 nt
Organism: Pongo abelii (Sumatran orangutan)
Lineage: Eukaryota; Metazoa; Chordata; Mammalia; Primates; Hominidae
Rfam family: Metazoan signal recognition particle RNA
About the family: The signal recognition particle (SRP) is a universally conserved ribonucleoprotein. It is involved in the co-translational targeting of proteins to membranes.
Source: Ensembl